Molecule: ribosomal RNA, 443 nt
Filed under: uncultured bacterium
Lineage: Bacteria
Description: partial 16S ribosomal RNA
Rfam family: Bacterial small subunit ribosomal RNA
Source: RNAcentral
CCUACGGGAGGCAGCAGUAGGGAAUAUUGCUCAAUGGGGGAAACCCUGAUGCAGCAACGCCGCGUGAGUGAAGAAGUAUUUCGGUAUGUAAAGCUCUGUCAGCAGGGAAGAAAGCAAUGAUGGUACCUGAACAAGAAGCCCCGGACAACGACGUGCCAGCAGCCGCGGUAAGACGUAGGGGGCAAGCGUUAUCCGGAAUUACUGGGUGUAAAGGGAGCGUAGACGGCUGUGCAAGUCUGGAGUGAAAGGCGGGGGCUCAACCCCCGGACUGCUCUGGAAACUGUAUGGCUGGAGUGCAGGAGAGGUAAGUGGAAUUCCUAGUGUAGCGGUGAAAUGCGUAGAUAUUAGGAGGAACACCAGUGGCGAAGGCGGCUUACUGGACUGUAACUGACGUUGAGGCUCGAAAGCGUGGGGAGCAAACAGGAUUAGAUACCCUUGUAGUC